RNAcentral lists this ribosomal RNA (802 nucleotides) under uncultured bacterium. Its description in RNAcentral is "bacterial SSU rRNA". It matches the Rfam family "Bacterial small subunit ribosomal RNA", at positions 8 to 796 of the family's 1533-position model. The record is from RNAcentral.
AGAGUUUGAUCAUGGCUCAGGACGAACGCUGGCGGCGUGCCUAACACAUGCAAGUUGAGCGACGAACCAGGGCUUGCCCUGGGGCAAAGCAGCGAACGGGUGAGUAACACGUGAGUAACCUACCCCGAUGACCGGGACAACUCGAGGAAACUCGAGCUAAUACCGGAUGUGAUGUACACGCAUAAGUGUGUCCAUCAAAGGAAGCUUCGGCCUCCGCAUCGGGAUGGGCUCGCGGCCCAUUAGCUUGUUGGUGAGGUAACGGCUCACCAAGGCUUCGAUGGGUAGCUGGUCUGAGAGGACGAUCAGCCACACUGGGACUGAGACACGGCCCAGACUCCUACGGGAGGCAGCAGUGGGGAAUCUUGCGCAAUGCGCGAAAGCGUGACGCAGCAACGCCGCGUGAGGGAAGACGGCCUUCGGGUUGUAAACCUCUUUCAGGAGGGACGAAGGUUCGCCGGCGAAUAGCCUGGCGGAUUGACGGUACCUCCAGAAGAAGCCCCGGCUAACUACGUGCCAGCAGCCGCGGUAAUACGUAGGGGGCAAGCGUUGUCCGGAAUCAUUGGGCGUAAAGCGCGCGUAGGCGGCCCGGUAAGUCCGUUGUGAAAGUCAAAGGCUCAACCUUUGAAUGCCGAUGGAUACUGCCGGGCUGGAGUCCGGAAGAGGCGAGUGGAAUUCCUGGUGUAGCGGUGGAAUGCGCAGAUAUCAGGAGGAACACCAAUAGCGAAGGCAGCUCGCUGGGACGGUACUGACGCUGAGGCGCGAAAGCGUGGGGAGCGAACAGGAUUAGAUACCCUCGUAGUCC